AAAUUGAAGAGUUUGAUCAUGGCUCAGAUUGAACGCUGGCGGCAGGCCUAACACAUGCAAGUCGAACGGUAGCACAGAGAGCUUGCUCUCGGGUGACGAGUGGCGGACGGGUGAGUAAUGUCUGGGAAACUGCCUGAUGGAGGGGGAUAACUACUGGAAACGGUGGCUAAUACCGCAUAACGUCGCAAGACCAAAGAGGGGGACCUUCGGGCCUCUUGCCAUCAGAUGUGCCCAGAUGGGAUUAGCUAGUUGGU
RNAcentral lists this ribosomal RNA (254 nucleotides) under Salmonella enterica subsp. enterica serovar Infantis. RNAcentral describes it as "partial 16S ribosomal RNA". It matches the Rfam family "Bacterial small subunit ribosomal RNA", at positions 1 to 253 of the family's 1533-position model. RNAcentral also lists the same sequence under 1 other name. The record is from RNAcentral. Lineage: Bacteria; Pseudomonadati; Pseudomonadota; Gammaproteobacteria; Enterobacterales; Enterobacteriaceae.